This 745-nucleotide ribosomal RNA is filed under the name Ophiocordyceps nutans. RNAcentral's name for it is "partial large subunit ribosomal RNA". It matches the Rfam family "Eukaryotic large subunit ribosomal RNA", at positions 68 to 937 of the family's 3401-position model. Lineage: Eukaryota; Fungi; Ascomycota; Sordariomycetes; Hypocreales; Ophiocordycipitaceae. The record is from RNAcentral.
ACAGGGAUGCCUUAGUAACGGCGAGUGAAGCGGCAAUAGCUCAAAUUUGAAAUCUGGAAAGUCCGAGUUGUAAUUUGCAGAGGAUGCUUUUGGCAAGGUCCCUGGAAUGGGACGCCACAGAGGGUAAGAGCCCCGUCUAGUUAGAUGCCGAAGCCUUUUUAAAGCUCCUUCAACGAGUCGAGUAGUUUGGGAAUGCUGCUCAAAGUAGGAGGUAUAUGUCUUCUAAAGCUAAAUAUUAGCUAGAGACCGAUAGCGCACAAGUAGAGUGAUCGAAAGAUGAAAAGCACUUUGAAAAGAGGGUUAAACAGUACGUGAAAUUGCUAAAAGGGAAGCACUUGCAACUAGACAUAGAUGUUUUCAAUCAAUUAAUGUGCUUGGAAUUAUAGGCUAGCAUCGGUUCUGUAGAGAAAAAAGGAACGUAGCCCUCUCUAGAUGUGUAAUGCUCUAUAGUAGACCGAGGAUUGCGCAUUAGUUGCUAGUGACCCGUCUUGAAACACGGACCAAGGAGUCGUCUUCGUAUGCGAGUGUUUGGGUAUAAACCCUUGCGCGAAAUGAAAGUAAACGUAGGUAAGGCACAUUACCGACCGAUCUUGAUGUUCUCGGAUGGAUUUGAGUAAGAGCAUACGGGGCCGGACCCGAAAGAAGGUGAACUAUGCCUGCGUAGGGUGAAGCCAGAGGAAACUCUGGUGGAGGCUCGGUUCUGACGUGCAAAUCGAUCGUCAAACGUGGGGCGAAAGACUAAUCG